AUUGAACGCUGGCGGCAUGCCUUACACAUGCAAGUCGAACGGCAGCAUGAUCUAGCUUGCUAGAUUGAUGGCGAGUGGCGAACGGGUGAGUAAUACAUCUGAACGUGCCCUGUAGUGGGGGAUAACUAGUCGAAAGAUUAGCUAAUACCGCAUACGACCUGAGGGUGAAAGUGGGGGACCGCAAGGCCUCAUGCUAUAGGAGCGGCCGAUGUCUGAUUAGCUGUUGGUGAGGUAAAGGCUCACCAAGGCGACGAUCAGUAGCUGGUCUGAGAGGACGAUCAGCCACACUGGGACUGAGACACGGCCCAGACUCCUACGGGAGGCAGCAGUGGGGAAUUUUGGACAAUGGGCGAAAGCCUGAUCCAGCAAUGCCGCGUGUGUGAAGAAGGCCUUCGGGUUGUAAAGCACUUUUGUCCGGAAAGAAAUGGCUCUGGUUAAUACCUGGGGUCGAUGACGGUACCGGAAGAAUAAGGACCGGCUAACUACGUG
RNAcentral lists this ribosomal RNA (489 nucleotides) under uncultured bacterium. RNAcentral's name for it is "partial 16S ribosomal RNA". It matches the Rfam family "Bacterial small subunit ribosomal RNA", at positions 30 to 507 of the family's 1533-position model. The record is from RNAcentral.